RNAcentral lists this ribosomal RNA (460 nucleotides) under uncultured bacterium. RNAcentral describes it as "partial 16S ribosomal RNA". It matches the Rfam family "Bacterial small subunit ribosomal RNA", at positions 338 to 795 of the family's 1533-position model. The record is from RNAcentral.
CCUACGGGCGGCAGCAGUGAGGAAUAUUGGUCAAUGGCCGUAAGGCUGAACCAGCCAAGUCGCGUGAGGGAAGAAGGAUCUAUGGUUUGUAAACUUCUUUUAUAGGGGAAUAAAGGUAUCCACGUGUGGAUAUUUGCAUUUACCCUAUGAAUAAGCAUCGGCUAACUCCGUGCCAGCCGCCGCGGUAAGACGGAGGAUGCGAGGGUUAUCCGGAUUUCUUGGGUUUAAAGGGUGCGUAGGUUGUUUUUUAAGUCAGCGGUGAAAGUUUGUGGCUCAACCAUAAAAUUGCCGUUGAAACUGGAAGACUUGAGUGUGUUUGAGGUAGGCGGAAUGCGUGGUGUAGCGGUGAAAUGCAUAGAUAUCACGCAGAACACCGAUUGCGAAGGCAGCUUACUAAGCCAUAACUGACACUGAAGCACGAAAGCGUGGGGAUCAAACAGGAUUAGAUACCCCUGUAGUC